Molecule: ribosomal RNA, 265 nt
Filed under: uncultured bacterium
Lineage: Bacteria
Description: partial 16S ribosomal RNA
Rfam family: Bacterial small subunit ribosomal RNA
Source: RNAcentral
CCGGCGACCGGCGCACGGGUGAGUAACACGUAUGCAACCUGCCCUCUUCAGGGGGACAACCUUCCGAAAGGGAGGCUAAUCCCGCGUAUAUCGGUUUCGGGCAUCCGAGAUCGAGGAAAGAUUCAUCGGAAGAGGAUGGGCAUGCGGCGCAUUAGCUAGACGGCGGGGUGACGGCCCACCGUGGCGACGAUGCGUAGGGGUUCUGAGAGGAAGGCCCCCCACACUGGGACUGAGACACGGCCCAGACUCCUACGGGAGGCAGCAG